RNAcentral lists this ribosomal RNA (487 nucleotides) under uncultured bacterium. Its description in RNAcentral is "bacterial SSU rRNA". It matches the Rfam family "Bacterial small subunit ribosomal RNA", at positions 14 to 507 of the family's 1533-position model. The record is from RNAcentral.
GAAUCCUGGCUCAGAGUGAACGCUGGCGGCGUGCGUUAACACAUGCAAGUCGAACGAGAACCGGAUUUAUAGCUUGCCUAUAAUUGUCAGCUAAGUGGCGCACCGGGUGAGUAAUGUAUAGGUAAUAUGCCUCUUACUAAGGGAUAACAAAUGGAAACGUUUGCUAAUACCUUAUACUCCUUAUUAACAGAAGUUAAUAAGGGAAAGAUUUAUUGGUAAGAGAUUAGCCUGUAUUGUAUCAGUUAGUUGGUGGGGUAAUGGCUUACCAAGACUAUGACACAUAACUGGUUUGAGAGGAUGAUCAGUCACACUGGAACUGAGACACGGUCCAGACUCCUACGGGAGGCAGCAGUGGGGAAUAUUGCACAAUGGACGAAAGUCUGAUGCAGCAACGCCGCGUGGAGGAUGACACAUUUCGGUGCGUAAACUCCUUUUAUAUGAGAAGAUAAUGACGGUAUUAUAUGAAUAAGCACCGGCUAACUCCGUG